UGACAACAUAAGAUUUCUCCUAAAAGGCC
Molecule: small RNA, 29 nt
Filed under: Bombyx mori (domestic silkworm)
Lineage: Eukaryota; Metazoa; Arthropoda; Insecta; Lepidoptera; Bombycidae
Description: ovarian small RNA-31294
Source: RNAcentral